AAAUAUAUAUAUAUAAAUUUAAGCUGCUAACUUAAUAAAUAGUGAAUAAAAUCAUUAAUAUUUCU
Molecule: transfer RNA, 65 nt
Filed under: Smyrna blomfildia
Lineage: Eukaryota; Metazoa; Arthropoda; Insecta; Lepidoptera; Nymphalidae
Description: tRNA-Ser
Source: RNAcentral